This 497-nucleotide ribosomal RNA is filed under the name uncultured bacterium. RNAcentral's name for it is "partial 16S ribosomal RNA". It matches the Rfam family "Bacterial small subunit ribosomal RNA", at positions 28 to 507 of the family's 1533-position model. The record is from RNAcentral.
GAUGAACGCUGGCGGCGUGCCUAAUACAUGUAAGUCGAGCGAACAGACGAGGAGCUUGCUCCUCUGACGUUAGCGGCGGACGGGUGAGUAACACGUGGAUAACCUACCUAUAAGACUGGGAUGACUUCGGGAAACCGGAGCUAAUACCGGAUAAUAUAUUGAACCGCAUGGUUCAAUAGUGAAAGACGGUUUUGCUGUCACUUAUAGAUGGAUCCGCGCCGCAUUAGCUAGUUGGUAAGGUAACGGCUUACCAAGGCAACGAUGCGUAGCCGACCUGAGAGGGUGAUCGGCCACACUGGAACUGAGACACGGUCCAGACUCCUACGGGAGGCAGCAGUAGGGAAUCUUCCGCAAUGGGCGAAAGCCUGACGGAGCAACGCCGCGUGAGUGAUGAAGGUCUUCGGAUCGUAAAACUCUGUUAUUAGGGAAGAACAAAUGUGUAAGUAACUAUGCACGUCUUGACGGUACCUAAUCAGAAAGCCACGGCUAACUACGUG